This 592-nucleotide ribosomal RNA is filed under the name uncultured bacterium. RNAcentral's name for it is "bacterial SSU rRNA". It matches the Rfam family "Bacterial small subunit ribosomal RNA", at positions 338 to 950 of the family's 1533-position model. The record is from RNAcentral.
CCUACGGGAGGCAGCAGUGGGGAAUCUUGCGCAAUGGGCGAAAGCCUGACGCAGCAACGCCGCGUGCGGGAAGAAGGCUUUCGGGCUGUAAACCGCUUUCAGCAGGAACGAAAAUGACGGUACCUGCAGAAGAAGGAGCGGCCAACUAUGUGCCAGCAGCCGCGGUGAUACAUAGGCUUCAAGCGUUGUCCGGAUUUAUUGGGCGUAAAGAGUUCGUAGGCGGUCAAGUAAGUCGGGUGUGAAAAUUCUGGGCUCAACCCAGAGACGCCACCCGAUACUGCUUAACUUGAGUUCGAUAGGGGAGUGGGGAAUUCCUAGUGUAGCGGUGAAAUGCGCAGAUAUUAGGAGGAACACCGGUGGCGAAGGCGCCACUCUGGAUCGAUACUGACGCUGAGGAACGAAAGCAUGGGUAGCAAACAGGAUUAGAUACCCUGGUAGUCCAUGCCGUAAACGGUGGGCACUAGGUGUGGGUUUCUAUUAACGAAAUCCGCGCCGUCGCUAACGCAUUAAGUGCCCCGCCUGGGGAGUCGGUCGCAAGCUAAAACUUAAGGAAUUGACGGCUGAGACGNGCGAGACGACGACGAGGAGUAGG